Long non-coding RNA from Pleuronectes platessa (European plaice), 575 nucleotides. RefSeq lists it as uncharacterized. The transcript is spliced from 3 exons. Lineage: Eukaryota; Metazoa; Chordata; Actinopteri; Pleuronectiformes; Pleuronectidae. The record is from RefSeq and is a predicted model, not a curated record.
UUAACGGGUUCAGAUGAAGACGCAGGGCCCAGACCGAGCUGGACAUUAGGACGGAUGGUUGGAUCGUGACGAGAGACAGAGGCCGGGGGCCGAGCUCCCAGAGGGCCACAGUGCAAACCAGUGCUUCCUGUUCCACGCGACAGGGCGAAACCAACGCUACCCACUCAACAGCCCUUUAUUGCCUUCAUCUCGGACAUGCAUGUGCAGGAAAAACUCCCCCCUAUCAUCUCCUCCAGGGAGCAGUGUGCGAGUGGCCGGAAUUUGGACGAAACAAUCGGUUGGAAAUGAAAUGUUCCCCCGAGUUAAAAAGGACAUGAAACAGAAGUCAGUGGAUUGUGCAGUGACUAACCUCCCUGCUAUGCACCCACUCGCCUGGAAUGUGGAAUUGGGAAUCUGAAGGUUUAUUUUGGAUUGAUUUCGCUGUAGUAAUAUUUCCGAAACUGCUGCGUGUUUUCUUCUGCUCCAGAUUGAAGGAGAGGACAAUGCAUGUGCAGCCAUAUAAGGGUCGGUUCUGCUCCCGACAUCAAGCAUCUCUAUGUUCUUUGGCCACUUUCGUACCUCGGAAUCAAACAGAU